This is a long non-coding RNA of Hermetia illucens (black soldier fly), 686 nucleotides long. RefSeq lists it as uncharacterized. NCBI's taxonomy places the organism in Eukaryota, Metazoa, Arthropoda, Insecta, Diptera, Stratiomyidae. The transcript is spliced from 2 exons. The record is from RefSeq and is a predicted model, not a curated record.
UCUUAUCGUAUAACGUAGAUUGUCGCGUAUGGGACAACUUUCAUAUUUAACAAGUAAAGUCUUAGUGACUUUGUGCUGUUGAUGGACUCUGGGCCCUUAACUCGCGGCAAAGCAGAGCAGGGCAGCCAUUGCGAUAAAUUUCCCUUGCAUGAGCGAAGCUUGGCAACUCAACAUUCUAAAUUUCAAACCUCAAAAGCGGCCAGGAAAAUUAUAUUGACGUAACAAUUACCCUGUCGGGUAUACUCCAUAUUCUGAGAUGGAUACAAAGUGAUGCAUUGUGCGUCGGUGAGGAGUAACUGUCAUUUUGGCAGUUAUUAAACGAGUAUUGCAAGGUGCAAAUUGAUAACGGCAAUGCAGUUUUUUAGUACAUAAUUCGAAAUUUAAGGGAUGCGCGGGAUUUUUUAUUAUUAAUCGCGAACAUGAUUCGAUCUACUUCGCUUAAGUUUGGAUUUGAAUAGAUAGAUAGAUAGAUUUAGAUGUUCCCGCCUUUAGUGUGGGUGCAGUUCUGAAAUUACCCACAUUGUACUAAAAAAUAAAUGUCAUACUCAAGGUAAUAUUAAAGCAGUAAGAAAGAAGAUCUGACCGGCCCAAGAUAUUUAACUGACAUUCGAUUAUAGAUUUAUGUUGAAUUUAGAUAAAUAUAUGUUAAUAUAAGAUGGAAAAUAAUAAAUAAACUUAACUAUGAA